RNAcentral lists this ribosomal RNA (496 nucleotides) under uncultured bacterium. RNAcentral's name for it is "partial 16S ribosomal RNA". It matches the Rfam family "Bacterial small subunit ribosomal RNA", at positions 30 to 523 of the family's 1533-position model. The record is from RNAcentral.
AUUGAACGCUGGCGGAAUGCUUUACACAUGCAAGUCGAACGGUAGAGGGGGCAACCCCUCGAGAGUGGCGAACGGGUGAGUAAUAUAUCGGAACGUGCCCAGGCGUGGGGGAUAACGUAGCGAAAGUUACGCUAAUACCGCAUACGAUCUAAGGAUGAAAGCCGGGGAUCGCAAGACCUCGAGCGAUUGGAGCGGCCGAUGUCAGAUUAGGUAGUUGGUGGGGUAAAGGCUCACCAAGCCAACGAUCUGUAGCUGGUCUGAGAGGACGACCAGCCACACUGGAACUGAGACACGGUCCAGACUCCUACGGGAGGCAGCAGUGGGGAAUUUUGGACAAUGGACGCAAGUCUGAUCCAGCCAUUCCGCGUGCAGGAUGAAGGCCCUCGGGUUGUAAACUGCUUUUGUACGGAACGAAAAGGUCUCUCUUAAUACGGGGGGCUCAUGACGGUACCGUAAGAAUAAGCACCGGCUAACUACGUGCCAGCCGCCGCAGUAA